UACGUAGGGUGCAAGCGUUAAUCGGAAUUACUGGGCGUAAAGCGUGCGCAGGCGGUUAUGUAAGACAGAUGUGAAAUGCCCGGGCUUAACCUGGGAACUGCAUUUGUGACUGCAUGGCUAGAGUUUGGCAGAGGGGGGUAGAAUUCCACGUGUAGCAGUGAAAUGCGUAGAGAUGCGGAGGAACACCGAUGGCGAAGGCAGCCCCCUGGGCUGACACUGACGCUCAGGCACGAAAGCGUGGGGAGCAAACAGG
Molecule: ribosomal RNA, 253 nt
Filed under: uncultured bacterium
Lineage: Bacteria
Description: partial 16S ribosomal RNA
Rfam family: Bacterial small subunit ribosomal RNA
Source: RNAcentral